CGUAGUUGAAUUUCGGAUCUGGCCAGGCGGUCCGUCUUACGGCGUGUACUGUCAGGCUGGAUCUUCCCUCUUGGUGAGCCAGCAUGUCCUUUACUGGGUGUGUUGGUAAACCAGGACUUUUACUUUGAAAAAAUUAGAGUGUUCAAAGCAGGCCUAUGCCCGAAUAUAUUAGCAUGGAAUAAUAAAAUAGGACGUGCGGUUCUAUUUGUGACAGA
RNAcentral lists this ribosomal RNA (215 nucleotides) under uncultured Golubevia. RNAcentral's name for it is "partial 18S ribosomal RNA". It matches the Rfam family "Eukaryotic small subunit ribosomal RNA", at positions 629 to 850 of the family's 1831-position model. The record is from RNAcentral. Lineage: Eukaryota; Fungi; Basidiomycota; Exobasidiomycetes; Golubeviales; Golubeviaceae.